AGAGUUUGAUCCUGGCUCAGGACGAACGCUGGCGGCGUGCUUAACACAUGCAAGUCGAACGGAAAGGCCCUUCGGGGUACUCGAGUGGCGAACGGGUGAGUAACACGUGGGUGAUCUGCCCUGCACUCUGGGAUAAGCCUGGGAAACUGGGUCUAAUACCGGAUAGGACCACACACUUCAUGGUGAGUGGUGCAAAGCUUUUGCGGUGUGGGAUGAGCCCGCGGCCUAUCAGCUUGUUGGUGGGGUAAUGGCCCACCAAGGCGACGACGGGUAGCCGGCCUGAGAGGGUGACCGGCCACACUGGGACUGAGAUACGGCCCAGACUCCUACGGGAGGCAGCAGUGGGGAAUAUUGCACAAUGGGCGCAAGCCUGAUGCAGCGACGCCGCGUGAGGGAUGACGGCCUUCGGGUUGUAAACCUCUUUCAGUAGGGACGAAGCGAAAGUGACGGUACCUACGGAAGAAGGACCGGCCAACUACGUGCCAGCAGCCGCGGUAAUACGUAGGGUCCGAGCGUUGUCCGGAAUUACUGGGCGUAAAGAGCUCGUAGGUGGUUUGUCGCGUUGUUCGUGAAAACUCACAGCUUAACUGUGGGCGUGCGGGCGAUACGGGCAGACUAGAGUACUGCAGGGGAGACUGGAAUUCCUGGUGUAGCGGUGGAAUGCGCAGAUAUCAGGAGGAACACCGGUGGCGAAGGCGGGUCUCUGGGCAGUAACUGACGCUGAGGAGCGAAAGCGUGGGUAGCGAACAGGAUUAGAUACCCUGGUAGUCC
This 771-nucleotide ribosomal RNA is filed under the name uncultured bacterium. Its description in RNAcentral is "bacterial SSU rRNA". It matches the Rfam family "Bacterial small subunit ribosomal RNA", at positions 8 to 796 of the family's 1533-position model. The record is from RNAcentral.